This is a small nucleolar RNA of Dioscorea cayenensis subsp. rotundata (Guinea yam), 107 nucleotides long. Lineage: Eukaryota; Viridiplantae; Streptophyta; Magnoliopsida; Dioscoreales; Dioscoreaceae. The record is from RefSeq and is a predicted model, not a curated record.
AACCCAUGUUAAGGACAUUUCUGCAGGAGCUCCAUGGACCUAUCCCAUGUCUCAAAUAGAGACUCUAAUUUUCUUUACACUAAAGAGGAUAUUUCAUUCCUAAGCUU